UACGAAGGGGGCGAGCGUUGUUCGGAAUUACUGGGCGUAAAGGGCGCGCAGGCGGCUCAGACAGUCAGAUGUGAAAGCCCCGGGCUUAACCUGGGAACUGCAUUUGAUACUACUGAGCUUGAGUACGGGAGAGGAUAGUGGAAUUCCCAGUGUAGAGGUGAAAUUCGUAGAUAUCGGGAGGAACACCAGUGGCGAAGGCGGCGAUCUGGGCAGAUACUGACGCUGAGGUGCGAAAGCGUGGGGAGCAAACAGG
Molecule: ribosomal RNA, 253 nt
Filed under: uncultured bacterium
Lineage: Bacteria
Description: partial 16S ribosomal RNA
Rfam family: Bacterial small subunit ribosomal RNA
Source: RNAcentral